Molecule: long non-coding RNA, 228 nt
Organism: Drosophila innubila
Lineage: Eukaryota; Metazoa; Arthropoda; Insecta; Diptera; Drosophilidae
Exons: 3
Source: RefSeq, a predicted model, not a curated record
UACAUCAAAGUAUAAAAUGAAAAUUUUGAUAGUUUACUAAAUUGGUAUGUAUCCAAGCAAAUUUCGAGUAUUUACAAAAUUAUUUGGAAGUAUAUUUCAAACACAGGAUUUGCUGCCAAAGUAUCAAUAUUGUCAAAUAAAUCGAUGUUUCUCGAAAGCUUGUAAGUCCUUGAAUGGGGUAAAAUCUGUAUACUUUAAAGAGCACCAAAAUUCACAAUGGAGUCGCAA